Molecule: ribosomal RNA, 408 nt
Filed under: uncultured bacterium
Lineage: Bacteria
Description: partial 16S ribosomal RNA
Rfam family: Bacterial small subunit ribosomal RNA
Source: RNAcentral
GACGAACGCUGGCGGCGUGCUUAACACAUGCAAGUCGAACGAAGUGGCGAACGGGUGAGUAACGCGUAAUCAACCUGCCCUUCAGUGGGGGACAACAGUUGGAAACGAUUGCUAAUACCGCAUACUGAAGGAGGGGAUUGCGUCGGAUUAGCUAGUUGGAGGGGUAACGGCCCACCAAGGCGAUGACCAGUAGCCGGUCUGGGGGGAUGAACGGCCAAAUUGGGACUGGGACAAGGCCCAGGAUCCUACGGGAGGCAGCAGGGGGGGAACUUCCGCAAUGGACGAAAGUCUGACGGAGCAAAGGCGCGUGAGUGAUGACGGCCUUCGGGUUGGAAAGCUCUGUUAAUCGGGACGCGGUACCGAAAUAGAAAGCCACGGCUAACUACGUGCCAGCAGCCGCGGUAAUUC